Molecule: long non-coding RNA, 1606 nt
Filed under: Gossypium barbadense (sea-island cotton)
Lineage: Eukaryota; Viridiplantae; Streptophyta; Magnoliopsida; Malvales; Malvaceae
Description: long non-coding RNA (GBAR_LNC015113)
Source: RNAcentral
AUAUCAUCUUUCUUCACUUUCGAAACUAGAGAAAGAAUAAAAGAUAAAAGCUUGGCUAAGGUUCGGCCAUUGUUGAACUAGAUUGAGGUUAGUCUUCUGUUCGGUUUUUGAUAAUUUUUACGUUUUUGAGAUCGUUGCUUUGUGUUCUUUAAAACCCAUGUUUAAAUUUUGUGAAUUGAUGAUGAUUUUGAAAUGUGCCAUUGAUGAAUGUUUGAGUUUUAUGAUGUUAGUUGAGGAAAUAUGAAAUAUAUGUGUUAGAUUAGCAUGUUUUAUCAAUGAAUUGUUGAUGAAUUUGAGUAAUUAGGGUUAAGUUGUAAAAAUAAAAUUUUUUUAGGAGCUAAAAUGUGAAAUAAAUGAAAUGUGUGGGUUUGUAUGGAUACUAAGAAUAUUCGGCCCUUAAGGAGUGUAGUCAAAUUUUGUGUAUUUUGUGUUUUGAGCAAAAAGGACUAAAUUGUGAAAAUGUAAAAUAUUAGGGGUAAAAAUGUAAUUUGCCCAUUUAUGCGUUCUUAGACUAAAUUGAAUGAAAAUAUGUUUAAAUGAGAUUUAUUUGAAUAUGUUUAGAUCAAGAAACCAAGAAAUCGAAUUUAGAUCGGGGGAAAUCAAAGGUAGUUGAGUAGCCGAUCUAUUUGUCGACGACAUCCGAGGUAAGUUAUUAAGCAUACAUAUUUGUGUCGUUUUAAAUUAUCUUAACAUCUAUGUAAUUAUGCUGAAUUGAAUUGAUAUAUAUGUAGUGAAACAAUUUUUGAAAUAUGACGUAUUGAGUUGUUGACCCCCAACACUAAGUGUGCGAGUAUAAAAAUAAACGAUAAUGAGAUUAGCACUAAGUGUGCGAGUUUAAUUGAAAUGCACUAAGUGUGCGAGUAUAAUGGUAAAGCACUAAGUGUGCGAGUGUGAUUAUUAAGCACUAAGUGUGAGUACUUAUUAAAUAUUUUCGAAAUAUUAUUAAUAUCGAGUAUUUGACUUAUCGAGAAAUCAUGAGUAACAAAGUGAGUAAUAAUUAUUUUGAUAGUAUUCAAGAUUAAUUUUUAUAUGUAUCAAACCUAGGUGGUGAUUAUAAUUGGAGUUAUAUUUAUUUAAGAUGAUUCAUUAUAUUUUAUGAUAAUAAAAUGUAUAAGGUACUUGGCCUUGUACUUAAAUUUGAAGAAAUGCUUAUAGUUGAGUAUUUAUAUUGAUUUUUGUUAAAUCACAGUAUGAAGUGAAUAAUUAUAUUAUGCUAUGGGAAGUUAAAGGUAAGAUGAUUUAGAAGUAUGAAUUGGUUAAAUAUUAUUCUAGAUAUCAAGUUAAAUUGUAGAGUUAUUUGUUUGUAACUUACUAAGCUAAAUUAGCUUACAAUGUGUUGGAUUAUUGUUUCGAUGUAUAGAUUUCGGAGAUCGCUACGUGUUCGGGAAUCGUCAGCUAAGCUCAUCACACUAUCGGUGUCUCCUUUUGAUAUUUUGCUAAAUUGUUUUCAAAUAUAUGACAUGUAUAGCUUAGUUAAAAAUGGUGAUUUUGAAAUCGAUGUGUAUGUGUAAUUAAAAGCCGUGCGAAAUUGGCUUAUCUCUUUUUGUUUUGAAUUUGGUAUUAACGAAUAUGCUUUAAUGGUCUAAUUCCCAUGCUUAAAUUCGGU